This 253-nucleotide ribosomal RNA is filed under the name uncultured bacterium. RNAcentral describes it as "partial 16S ribosomal RNA". It matches the Rfam family "Bacterial small subunit ribosomal RNA", at positions 524 to 776 of the family's 1533-position model. The record is from RNAcentral.
UACAGAGGUGGCAAGCGUUGUUCGGAAUUACUGGGCGUAAAGGGCGCGUAGGCGGCCAUCUAAGUCAGACGUGAAAUCCCCCGGCUUAACCUGGGAACUGCGUCUGAUACUGGACGGCUUGAGUAUGGGAGAGGGAUGUAGAAUUCCUGGUGUAGCGGUGAAAUGCGUAGAUAUCGGGAGGAACACCGGUGGCGAAGGCGGCUUUCUGGACAGAUACCGACGCUGAGGCACGAAAGCAUGGGGAGCAAACAGG